This 301-nucleotide ribosomal RNA is filed under the name uncultured bacterium. RNAcentral's name for it is "partial 16S ribosomal RNA". It matches the Rfam family "Bacterial small subunit ribosomal RNA", at positions 509 to 807 of the family's 1533-position model. The record is from RNAcentral.
CAGCAGCCGCGGGAAUACGUAGGUGGCAAGCGUUGUCCGGAAUUAUUGGGCGUAAAGGGCUCGCAGGCGGUUUCUUAAGUCUGAUGUGAAAGCCCCCGGCUCAACCGGGGAGGGUCAUUGGAAACUGGGAAACUUGAGUGCAGAAGAGGAGAGUGGAAUUCCACGUGUAGCGGUGAAAUGCGUAGAGAUGUGGAGGAACACCAGUGGCGAAGGCGACUCUCUGGUCUGUAACUGACGCUGAGGAGCGAGAGCGUGGGGAGCGAACAGGAUUAGAUACCCCUGUAGUCCCUGUCUCUUAUAC